RNAcentral lists this ribosomal RNA (406 nucleotides) under uncultured bacterium. Its description in RNAcentral is "partial 16S ribosomal RNA". It matches the Rfam family "Bacterial small subunit ribosomal RNA", at positions 30 to 526 of the family's 1533-position model. The record is from RNAcentral.
AUUGACCGCUGGCGCCAGGCCUAACACAUGCAAGUCGAACGAGUGGCGGACGGGUGAGUAAUGCCUGGGAAACUGCCUGAUGCAGGGGGAUAACUACUGGAAACGGUAGCUACUACCGCAUACUAUCGGAUCUGCCAAGAUGGCAUUAGCUAGUAGGUGGGGUAAAGGCUCACCUAGGCGACGUUCCCUAGCUGGUCUGAGAGGAUGACCAGCCACACGGGAACUGAGACAAGGUCCAGACGCCUACGGGAGGCAGCAGGGGGGAAUAUUGCACAAUGGGCGCAAGCCUGAUGCAUCCAUGCCGCGUGUAUGAAGAAGGCCUUCGGGUUGUAAAGUACUUUCAGCGGUGAGGCGUUACCCGCAGAAGAAGCACCGGCUAACUCCGUGCCAGCAGCCGCGGUAAUUC